This 441-nucleotide ribosomal RNA is filed under the name uncultured bacterium. RNAcentral describes it as "partial 16S ribosomal RNA". It matches the Rfam family "Bacterial small subunit ribosomal RNA", at positions 338 to 795 of the family's 1533-position model. The record is from RNAcentral.
CCUACGGGAGGCAGCAGUGGGGGAUAUUGCACAAUGGGGGGAACCCUGAUGCAGCGACGCCGCGUGUGGGAAGACGGUCCUCUGUAUUUUAAGCCCCUGUCCCCAGGAAGAAAAAUAGCGCUACCUACUUAGGACGCCCCGUCUCACUGCGUCCCAGCAGACGCGCUAAUACGUAGGGGGCAUGCGUUGUCCGGAUUUACUGGGUGUAGGGGGAGCGUAGACGGCAGGGCAAGUCUGGAGUGAAAGAAGUGGGCUCAACCACCGGACUGCUCUGGAAACUGUACGGCUGGAGUGCAGGAGAGGUAAGUGGAAUUCCUAGUGUAGCGGUGAAAUGCGUAGAUAUUAGGAGGAACACCAGUGGCGAAGGCGGCUUACUGGACUGUAACUGACGUUGAGGCUCGAAAGCGUGGGGAGCAAACAGGAUUAGAUACCCCUGUAGUC